AUAGAAGCUUUAUAAAUACAUCUACCGACAGUCCUCUCUUCCAAACAUAGAAGAAAAAAAUGGAGAAGAAGAAAAUGAAUUCAGUUGCAGCUAUGGCUAUGGUGUUUAUGAUCCUUCUAUCGGCCAACAUCGACACAGUUGGCGUCGCUGCUCAAGGCGUCAAUUGCUAUGAUAACUGCAACACCGGAUGCGCCGGUCUCCCAUCCAAGCAAUAUAUCAAAUGUGAUAAGAAGUGCCACAAAAGAUGUGGAGAUGAUGACAAAAUUGAUGGAAACGUUGGUUGAAAGUGAUGAAAUUUACUAGCAAGCUAUUAUUAUAUGGAGUUCCAUAAAUUUACUUCUCUCUUCGAUAAUAAACUUUACUUGUACUAUGACUUUUUACUAUAAGAUGCAUUGUAUGAUGAUGAAACUAUGUACUACUAUUUGAUAUUAUAAUUGUUAAUUCAAUAAACAAAAUUAGUCGAGUCAAAGUUAAAUUUGCCAACGCUAUAAAUGAAGAACUUAAAUACGUCUUUACUUGUUCAUUA
This is a long non-coding RNA of Solanum lycopersicum (tomato), 526 nucleotides long. RefSeq lists it as uncharacterized. The record is from RefSeq and is a predicted model, not a curated record. Lineage: Eukaryota; Viridiplantae; Streptophyta; Magnoliopsida; Solanales; Solanaceae.